UUUACUGUACAUACUUUGUGUAAUUAGUAAUUGCCAUUUUGUCAGUUUUAAAAUUUUGUGCUUACAAUAAUAUGUACAAUUAGUACAGUUAGUGCUAUACUUUUGAUAUUGUUACUACACAACAUAAAAACUAUUUUUGGGAAAUUGAUUUAUUUUUUUAAUCAAUACUCAGUUUUACAAUUUACGUUUACGGCAUUAUCUCUAUCAACUGCACCGCGCACAUUGACUUCCGCCUAAUCGCCGUAAUCGGCAAUCGCAUCGCUGACUGCUGCAGUGCUGCUGCUGUCAAGUAUCAAUAUCCACUAUCGUCUUCUAAAAGGCGUUAUAAUUAUUAUUUUUGUUAUUCAUAAAAUUUAUACAUUCCUUCGCUUGUAAUCGAUAUUAAAUCGGUUUUUAUUUAAUAAAUCGUAUAACACGCAAGUGUUACAUCGACAGUUUGCGUUCUAUCUCGAGAAAAUGUCCAACAACGACUGUAGAAUUUACGUGGGAAACCUGCCGCCUGACAUACGCACGAAAGACAUACAAGAUUUAUUCUACAAAUUUGGUAAAGUGUUGUUUGUGGAUUUGAAAAAUCAGAGAGGACCACCAUUUGCCUUUGUCGAAUUCGACGAUCCUAGAGAUGCAGAAGAUGCAGUUCAUGCAAGAGAUGGUUAUGAUUAUGAUGGCUAUAGAUUACGUGUAGAGUUUCCACGCGGUAAUGGUCCACAUAGAAGUGGUGGCAGUAGUAGUGGUGGUGGAGGUUACAAUCGAGGAGGUGCUAGUGGUGGAAGUGGAAGAAGCCGAGGUCCACCAGCGAGGCGUUCUCAGUAUAGAGUACUUGUUACUGGAUUACCAGCAUCAGGAAGUUGGCAAGAUUUAAAAGAUCAUAUGCGUGAAGCUGGAGAUGUGUGUUAUGCCGAUGUAUACAAAGAUGGAUCUGGUGUUGUUGAGUUUUUGCGUUAUGACGAUAUGAAAUAUGCUGUUCGUAAGCUUGAUGACUCAAGAUUCAGGUCUCAUGAGGGUGAAGUAACAUAUAUUCGAGUAAAAGAUGAUUAUGGUGGUGGAAGCAGUCGUCGAAGUCGUGAUUAUAAUAGUCGCAGUCGUAGUCGCUCCGCUAGCUAUUCACCUAGAGAUCGUGGAACACCAACAUAUUCACCAGUUAGAAAAAGUCAUAGUUAUUCAAGAUCUCGUUCCCGUUCGUAAUAUUGAGGAUAACCAAAUGACUGCCCGUUUCAAGUCAUUGGCAAACAAUUUUCCGAUGAUAAAAAUGUAUUGCUUACUAUACUGGACUACAUUCUUGUCCUCUUGUUUGUAAUCAGUGGACAAUAAACAGAAUCCAUUCACUGUGUGACAAUCAAAAACACUACCUAUACGCCAGUGUACACUUCUGAUCAAUACAUCAUAAUUUUAUUGCUCUGCUGUUCUACCGCAGUACCAUCUGACAAGAACACAAGACAUUAUCUUCAGACAACAUUAAUUAUAUUCUUAAAUUUUAUUUUAUUAAUUUUUUUUUUUGUUUUUUAUUACAUUAAAUAAUUUGAAUAAAAAUAUUUUAUAAAAA
Aphis gossypii (cotton aphid) is the source of this 1540-nucleotide RNA transcript. It is a transcript of the gene named serine/arginine-rich splicing factor 1A, with no coding region annotated. The record is from RefSeq and is a predicted model, not a curated record. The transcript is spliced from 6 exons. NCBI's taxonomy places the organism in Eukaryota, Metazoa, Arthropoda, Insecta, Hemiptera, Aphididae.